CACGUAGGGGGCAAGCGUUGUCCGGAUUUAUUGGGCGUAAAGAGCUCGUAGGCGGUUCGGUAAGUCGGGUGUGAAACCUCCAGGCUCAACCUGGAGACGCCACCCGAUACUGCUGUGACUAGAGUCCGGUAGGGGAGCGUGGAAUUCCUGGUGUAGCGGUGAAAUGCGCAGAUAUCAGGAGGAACACCAACGGCGAAGGCAGCACUCUGGGCUGGAACUGACGCUGAGGAGCGAAAGCGUGGGUAGCAAACAGG
Molecule: ribosomal RNA, 254 nt
Filed under: uncultured bacterium
Lineage: Bacteria
Description: partial 16S ribosomal RNA
Rfam family: Bacterial small subunit ribosomal RNA
Source: RNAcentral